Molecule: transfer RNA, 83 nt
Filed under: Candidatus Vidania fulgoroideorum
Lineage: Bacteria; Pseudomonadati; Pseudomonadota; Betaproteobacteria
Description: tRNA-Ser
Rfam family: tRNA
About the family: Transfer RNA (tRNA) molecules are approximately 80 nucleotides in length. Their secondary structure includes four short double-helical elements and three loops (D, anti-codon, and T loops).
Source: RNAcentral
GAAGAUAUGUCAGAGUGGUUUAUUGUAUCUGACUUGAAAUCAGAUUUAGAUUUCUAUCACAGGUUCGAAUCCUGUUAUCUUCU